RNAcentral lists this long non-coding RNA (220 nucleotides) under Carica papaya (papaya). Its description in RNAcentral is "long non-coding RNA (CPAP_LNC005758)". Lineage: Eukaryota; Viridiplantae; Streptophyta; Magnoliopsida; Brassicales; Caricaceae. The record is from RNAcentral.
CCACAUGCGCAUGGGUGCAAAGCCCAAAUAAUUUUAAGCUAGGCUCGACUCAGUCUAGAAACCCAACCUGAUCAACAACCCGAUUUAGUUAGCGUUGACUGGUCCAUUUAACAUUGAUCGGUCAACAGUUAACCCAUUGACUUGACUCAUAAAACAUAAAUUUGAGGGUGCAAAGCCCAAAUAAUUUUAAGCUAGGCUCGACUCAGUCUAGAAACCCAAC